AGCCCGCUCAGAAACUUAAAGGAAUUGACGGGGGCCCGCACAAGCGGUGGAGUAUGUGGUUUAAUUCGAUGCAACGCGAAGAACCUUACCUGGUCUUGACAUCCCGGAGACCCUUAGGAAACUAGGGGGUGCUUCCAUCUGGAAGAAUCUGGAGACAGGUGCUGCAUGGCUGUCGUCAGCUCGUGUCGUGAGAUGUUGGGUUAAGUCCCGCAACGAGCGCAACCCUUGCCUUUAGUUGCCAGCAGUUCGGCUGGGCACUCUAAAGGGACUGCCGGUGUUAAACCGGAGGAAGGUGGGGAUGACGUCAAGUCCUCAUGGCCUUUAUGACCAGGGCUACACACGUACUACAAUGGCCGAUACAAAGGGCAGCGACACUGCGAGGUGAAGCCAAUCCCGUAAAAUCGGUCUCAGUCCGGAUUGGAGUCUGCAACUCGACUGCGUGAAGUCGGAAUCGCUAGUAAUCGUGAAUCAGAAUGUCACGGUGAAUACGUUCCCGGGCCUU
This 502-nucleotide ribosomal RNA is filed under the name uncultured Desulfobulbus sp. Its description in RNAcentral is "bacterial SSU rRNA". It matches the Rfam family "Bacterial small subunit ribosomal RNA", at positions 886 to 1382 of the family's 1533-position model. The record is from RNAcentral. Lineage: Bacteria; Pseudomonadati; Thermodesulfobacteriota; Desulfobulbia; Desulfobulbales; Desulfobulbaceae.